CCUACGGGGGGCUGCAGUGGGGAAUAUUGCACAAUGGGCGCAAGCCUGAUGCAGCCAUGCCGCGUGUGUGAAGAAGGCCUUCGGGUUGUAAAGCACUUUCAGCGGGGAGGAAGGCGGUGAGGUUAAUAACCUCAUCGAUUGACGUUACCCGCAGAAGAAGCACCGGCUAACUCCGUGCCAGCAGCCGCGGUAAUACGGAGGGUGCAAGCGUUAAUCGGAAUUACUGGGCGUAAAGCGCACGCAGGCGGUCUGUCAAGUCGGAUGUGAAAUCCCCGGGCUCAACCUGGGAACUGCAUUCGAAACUGGCAGGCUAGAGUCUUGUAGAGGGGGGUAGAAUUGCAGGUGUAGAGGUGAAAUGCGUAGAGAUCUGGAGGAAUACCGGUGGCGAAGGCGGCCCCCUGGACAAAGACUGACGCUCAGGUGCGAACGCGUGGGGAGCAAACAGGAUUAGAUACCCGUGUAGUC
RNAcentral lists this ribosomal RNA (465 nucleotides) under uncultured Klebsiella sp. RNAcentral's name for it is "bacterial SSU rRNA". It matches the Rfam family "Bacterial small subunit ribosomal RNA", at positions 338 to 795 of the family's 1533-position model. The record is from RNAcentral. Lineage: Bacteria; Pseudomonadati; Pseudomonadota; Gammaproteobacteria; Enterobacterales; Enterobacteriaceae.